Molecule: long non-coding RNA, 1206 nt
Organism: Vespa mandarinia (Asian giant hornet)
Lineage: Eukaryota; Metazoa; Arthropoda; Insecta; Hymenoptera; Vespidae
Source: RefSeq, a predicted model, not a curated record
GUUUGGUGGGGCGCGCGGCGCGUUCGCCCGAGCAGUGGGAAUACGUUGGUUGACAGUGAUGCUCAACCAUCGCUUUUGGUUCCUUUUCUUCUUCCUUUUUUAUUGGAUCUUUUAAUCGAUAGAUUAAACUUCUUGUCCUAAUUAAUUGAUUAAGAACUUAGGCAGUCGCAGGUAAAGGAGCAUAAGAACAUAUAUUCUUAUUUAUAUAAGUACAUAUGACAAAAAGAAUGCUAAACUUGAAUUGCAUAUUGUACGUGUAUGUGUAUGUUUGAAAAGAAAUAAGACCAUACUUUCCACAUUAUACAAAGUUCCCAUUUGAAUUGCAAAUAUUAAUCUAAGUAUCUAGAAGAUAAAAUUUGUUGUAUGCGCGGUUAAAUGGAAAAUUAUAGAAUAUAACAAUAGUGAAAAAAGAUUAUCGGCGGUGCACCGAGGAUCGCAGGAUUCGCAGCGAAUCGAUUCGCCUCUCAAGGAUUACGGGCGCGGUACGCAUGCCGGAUACCCGUGCGUACCUCUAGUUGCUAUCCUCCGAGCAACCACGCAUUGGUCUGGCGAAGCACCGUGACCCACAUUUUCAUGUCGACUACAAUUCAAGUUAAAGUUCUGUUCUAUCUGAGGGUGAACUAUUUCUUCGAUCUUUCAAACCAUAGUUGAUUCAGUAAAGUCUCUACUAUUCUUAGAAAAAAGGAGCCUAUAGAGAAAAAAACGAAGACUGAAAGUAGACGAAAUGGAGCACAUGAAGUCAAUGGAAAAAUGUAAUCCGUAUAAAAACUGGUUGGCGAACUACCAUUUAGAGAAAGCCAUGAGAAAGAAGACGAAUACACCGUAUAGAGCGAAGAUCAUCCAUGUAUACAUCGCAUAGGUACAUACAUAUCUGUACUUAUAUAAGCAUCUAUAUACCAAAUUGUAUGCCAAAUUGCGUGACUUGGUCUCAUUGUUCGAUAAUUUAGACCAUCAGGUAUAAAGAAGACGCCUUUUACUAAUAAUUCGAUGUUAUAUACGUAUUUAAACGAAUGGACAAACAUCAUAACUUUUUCUUAUGUGCAUUUACAAUCGAUAUGAAUUAAAUUUAAAAUGACAAUCUAAAAGAGCAAGCGAAAAUUUGUUGGGGUAAUAACUCGAUUACAGGAAAUCGAUCUCGCUUUUUAUUUUCAUUAUUACUUUUUUUACCAACUUUAUAUUUAAAGUAGUUUAAAAAAGAAUGUUAUC